AUCUCCAGAAUCUAGACCAAGGCCUGUUGUGGAAAGUAGAGAUCAAACCCCUCCAAAAAAGAAGCAGUGCAACUGUAAACACUCACACUGCUUAAAACUUGACGGUAACGAGCUCUUCAAACAGAGAAACAGAGGCACGAACUAUCAUGGGAAACUCUUGUAAAACUCUUAACUUGUGAGAGAUGUGCUGAGAAGCUUUACUACAAAAGAAGAAAGGAAGUGAAAGAUCAGAGAGUGAAUUAAGAAAAGAGGUGUGCCGAGUUGAUUGGUGAACAAGGAGGAGAAAGCAUCGAGCAAGGUGGAGGACACUUGUGCAUUGA
Molecule: long non-coding RNA, 320 nt
Organism: Brassica oleracea var. oleracea
Lineage: Eukaryota; Viridiplantae; Streptophyta; Magnoliopsida; Brassicales; Brassicaceae
Exons: 3
Source: RefSeq, a predicted model, not a curated record